Molecule: long non-coding RNA, 248 nt
Filed under: Trifolium pratense (red clover)
Lineage: Eukaryota; Viridiplantae; Streptophyta; Magnoliopsida; Fabales; Fabaceae
Description: long non-coding RNA (TPRA_LNC010527)
Source: RNAcentral
CUGAUGAAAUAUGCAACAAACCUUUGUGAAUUAUCCUCUUUGAACCACAUAUCAACACCUUCGAUAACACCAAAAAAGCAAACACAAACAACGGCAGUACCAUCAAGUUUUGAUUCACAGAAUUUUGAGAAAUUUUGCACAUCAUGCAAUCCUAUAAAUGAUUCAACCUUGGAUAUUAACAAAGAAUCUUCAAAACCAAAAUCAUGAUAAACCAUAAUAACUAAUUUUUUGGUUCCUUUGUAAAAGAC